CCUACGUGAGGCAGCAGUAGGGAAUCUUUCACAAUGGUCGAAAGCCUGAUGGAGCAACGCCGCGUGCAUGAUGAAGGCCUUCUGGUUGUAAACUUCUUUUAUAAGCGAGAAAUAUGAUGGUAACUUAUUAUUACCGCUCUGCUAACUACUUGCCAGCCGCCGCGGUCAUACUUAGGAUCCGAGCAUUAUCCGGAGUGACUGUGUGUAACGAGUUGCGUAGGUUGCAUAAUAAGUAGCUAGUGAAAUCUGGUGGCUCAACCAUUCAGACUAUUAGCGAAACUGUUAAGCUCGAGACAGUUAGGGGUAAAUGGAAUUUCAAGUGUAGGGGUGAAAUCCGUAGAUAUAAGAAGGAACACCAAUGGCGUAGGCAGGUUGCUGGGACGGUUCUGACACUAAGGCACGAAAGCGUAGGGAGCAAACGGGAUUAGAUACCCUUGUAGUC
This 442-nucleotide ribosomal RNA is filed under the name uncultured bacterium. RNAcentral's name for it is "partial 16S ribosomal RNA". It matches the Rfam family "Bacterial small subunit ribosomal RNA", at positions 338 to 795 of the family's 1533-position model. The record is from RNAcentral.